This 62-nucleotide transfer RNA is filed under the name Metaplax longipes. RNAcentral's name for it is "tRNA-Arg". Lineage: Eukaryota; Metazoa; Arthropoda; Malacostraca; Decapoda; Varunidae. The record is from RNAcentral.
AUUAGAAAGCGAAUUAUCGCAUUUAGUUUCGACCUAAACCUUAGACCCUUAGUCUUCUAAUU